RNAcentral lists this non-coding RNA (19 nucleotides) under Arabidopsis thaliana (thale cress). The record is from RNAcentral. RNAcentral also lists the same sequence under 1 other name. Lineage: Eukaryota; Viridiplantae; Streptophyta; Magnoliopsida; Brassicales; Brassicaceae.
GAGUAACUAUGACUCUCUU